UUAUUAUUAUUUAAGUGGGUUUAAUUUAACACAAUAAUUCGGUUCGGCCCGCUUUAUUAGCGUUUUAUAAUCAAUUUAGAAAGGAAAAAUUACAUCCCCUCCCCUAUAGUUUGUCGAAAUUACGUGUGGGUCCAAGGGUUUGAACGAUUUACACCCCCUCCCCUGAACUAUGAAAGAUUCUUACAUUUGAAUCCAAUUUGUUAGUAGCCGUGAGUUUGAAACUGUUAUGUGGUGAGGUCACAUUUCUUAUACCGAAAAUUCCCCUAAAAUGAAGUGAAGAGACUGAAAGACCCUUCACUUAAAAUAAUGAAAAAAGAUGGAAAUCCCUCUUUUGAUUUCAUGUCUUUAACCUAACUCUUCAAGCCCUAAAUUCCUCCCCACUUUCUUCUUUUUCUGAUGAUCUCUCCAUGGCGUUUUCUCUAUUUUUCUUUUAAAUUAGUGUUUGAUAGGAUAUGAAAGGUUGGAUUGGACGGAUAACAAAAACUAAUAAAAGAGGAAGCAGUAAUGUAGAAUUACCCAUGUCCGCAUGCACGCUCUCUCUUCGCUGCUUCUGCUGCAAUUGGAUACCUCGUCUCCCGCUGCAAAUUCGCCCCUUUCGAACCAUGAAGCAUCUCUCCCAAGCUUCCAUUCGGCAUGUACUUGUACAGUAACAGAUUUGUAUCAUUGUUCGAGACAAACCUAGCAAUCUCUUGAUGUUCCGGUGUCGAAUCCUUCCCAAAGUCUGAAUUUCAGCUAAGAAGCCAUGAUCGAUCCUCCCACUACUCGGACCAGCAAGUCGCUCGCUUGAUUGCAACAUCCAAGUUGUCCGGCAUCGAUCCCUGUACCAUUUGAUCUUUAAAAUGGCGGUGGUGAGAAGUAACACAAUUCCAACUACUGAUACGAUGAUGACGAUGAUCUUCGAACAUGACCUUCUCUGUUUUGAACCUGUUGGGGUUUGGAUAGAUGGACAGGGGGUUUGAUGCAGUGGACUACAGAGAUUGGGGUUUCCUAUAUAAGUGCUGCCGUUGAAAGCGAGGAAUUGUCCCCCAACCGGGAUCGGACUUGACAAGUUGUUGUAAGAGAGAUCCAACGUUGUUAGACUCGUCAGUGAUCGAAUUCCAGUGGGUAUUUGGCCG
Macadamia integrifolia is the source of this 1115-nucleotide long non-coding RNA. RefSeq lists it as uncharacterized. The record is from RefSeq and is a predicted model, not a curated record. The transcript is spliced from 2 exons. NCBI's taxonomy places the organism in Eukaryota, Viridiplantae, Streptophyta, Magnoliopsida, Proteales, Proteaceae.